RNAcentral lists this ribosomal RNA (605 nucleotides) under uncultured bacterium. RNAcentral describes it as "bacterial SSU rRNA". It matches the Rfam family "Bacterial small subunit ribosomal RNA", at positions 338 to 1415 of the family's 1533-position model. The record is from RNAcentral.
CCUACGGGAGGCAGCAGUGGGGAAUCUUGCGCAAUGGGCGAAAGCCUGACGCAGCAACGCCGCGUGCGGGAAGAAGGCUUUCGGGCUGUAAACCGCUUUCAGCAGGAACGAAAAUGACGGUACCUGCAGAAGAAGGAGCGGCCAACUAUGUGCCAGCAGCCGCGGUGAUACAUAGGCUUCAAGCGUUGUCCGGAUUUAUUGGGCGUAAAGAGUUCGUAGGCGGUCGAGUAAGUCGGGUGUGAAAAUUCUGGGCUCAACCCAGAGACGCCACCCGAUACUGCUUGACUUGAGUUCGAUAGGGGAGUGGGGAAUUCCUAGUGUAGCGGUGAAAUGCGCAGAUAUUAGGAGGAACACCGGUGGCGAAGGCGCCACUCUGGAUCGAUACUGACGCUGAGGAACGAAAGCAUGGGUAGCAAACAGGAUUAGAUACCCUGGUAGUCCAUGCCGUAAACGGUAGGCACUAGGUGUGGGAUUCUAUUAACGAAUUCCGCGCCGUCGCUAACGCAUUAAGUGCCCCGCCUGGGGGAGGUACGGUCGCGAGACUAAACUACAAUAGAAGUAGACGGCGUGAGACGUGCCGAACGGACGACGACGAGGGAGGUAGG